GCCAGAGCUCUACCACAAAGCCACAUGCCCAGCCUCUCAAACCGGCAGGUUUUCUACCAGGGAGCCAUCCCCAGCCUCUCACAGAGGGAUUGCAGGCACGAAAAGAAGGUCAGGAACAAACUCCAGAACAGAGAUGGCACCCUUCCCCGAGCCCCUUGAGGAGUAAAAGCUGGAAGAUUUUUCUCACCCCCAGGAGGGAAGAUGGAUUUACCCAGCACCUCCUCAAACCUCCUUCUCUGCCUCCCCAUAUGAUCUACUGAAUAAAUCCAAGUGACAGCUGGCAGGGGCCGCCUCAACAGCACAUGAAAAGCAGGCUGCAGCCCCUCGGGGAGCGAGGGGCCAGCCCUCUCUUCUCCUAGUCAGGAGCUUCCCUGAGGCUUCCUGGAUGCUUCCAACCACUGUGCUGCAGUCCUGGCCAUCU
This 421-nucleotide long non-coding RNA is filed under the name Rattus norvegicus (Norway rat). Its description in RNAcentral is "long non-coding RNA NONRATT031857". The record is from RNAcentral. Lineage: Eukaryota; Metazoa; Chordata; Mammalia; Rodentia; Muridae.